RNAcentral lists this ribosomal RNA (98 nucleotides) under Butyricicoccus porcorum. Its description in RNAcentral is "partial 16S ribosomal RNA". It matches the Rfam family "Bacterial small subunit ribosomal RNA", at positions 1443 to 1533 of the family's 1533-position model. The record is from RNAcentral. Lineage: Bacteria; Bacillati; Bacillota; Clostridia; Eubacteriales; Butyricicoccaceae.
AAGGAGGACGCGGCCGAAGGCAGGACUGGUAAUUAGGGUGAAGUCGUAACAAGGUAGCCGUAUCGGAAGGUGCGGCUGGAUCACCUCCUUUCUAAGGA